Molecule: non-coding RNA, 72 nt
Organism: Phrynosoma platyrhinos (Desert horned lizard)
Lineage: Eukaryota; Metazoa; Chordata; Lepidosauria; Squamata; Phrynosomatidae
Source: the annotation of a GenBank genome assembly
UACUGUGUAGUGUAGUGGUUUGAAUGUUGGACUACAACUCUGGAGACCAGGGUUCAAUCCCCAGCUUGGCCA